UGUGUGUUUAGAGUGAUAGAGAAAUGGUUGUGUGUAUGCGUGGAGAAACAGGAUGUAGACGAUUAAAAAAAAACAUAGGAGAAGAGAAGGAAGUAGAGAAUUACCAGUGACUAAAAGAAAAAAAAGAAAGAGAAAACAAGUAGAUAAGGAGAGAAAAACAGACUAUUCCAUCUCAUAUCAGGAUGAAUUCCAUUUUUGAUUACUUCAGUCGUAGAUUACGCUAACUUGAAAAUUUGAUAACAACGAACUAACAAAGGAGCCUCCAAAUGCCAGCAGACGUGAGAGAAUGUUUUUAGUACUAUGGAGUGAAUGACAUUAAUAAGAAAAUUUGCUAUGGAUCUUUGAAGACCGAAAUUUUAGGUAAUUUAAAAAAAAUAAGAGGCCUCCAUUAUGGACAUACCGGAAAUCACAAUUGCCGUGUGUUUCGCGGUAAUCAAAGUUCUCAUAGAAAAUAAACCAAUGCAGACCACGAGGAGCGGCUAGAGUCUGUGAACUCGGAAAAUGGGACCAACAUGAAACAAGUGGGAAGCACUUGUUACCUUAAACAAGUAAAUGUACGGCGCCGCGAAUUUAUGUGAUGGCGCAGAUAUGAGAAUUUUGACCUCCAGCGAAAAAUGUUGCCGUACAUCACACAAUCUCAUUGUUGAUUUGCUUUCUUUCAUUUCAGAACGUUUCCUUAGAUUUUUCAUCUUUGAAGAUUUCAUUGAAUUCUCUUCGUUUAUAUUUUACUUGCUUCAGACAUUGGACUGCGGCCAUGCUGAGGCACUGCCCUUAAGGAUU
Long non-coding RNA from Octopus bimaculoides (California two-spot octopus), 780 nucleotides. The record is from RefSeq and is a predicted model, not a curated record. Lineage: Eukaryota; Metazoa; Mollusca; Cephalopoda; Octopoda; Octopodidae.